CACAGUUCCGGAGUGGAGGGAGGAAGUGCAUUCCUGCUGCCAGGUCCUCCUCCUCUCCGCCGCGCUCGCCUGGAGCUCCGCGGUUCUCCGCCUCCUCCGCGGGUCCUGGAAGGCAUAUCGAGGUAGCAGUUAGCUGCUGAAGGGGCAGAGAUGUUGCAGGAUCCUGGGCAAGUAUCCAACAAAACUCAACAGUGGACGCCCCUCGUGGGCAGAGAAGAUAGCGGACGCCUCUACCCUGGUGUGAAACCGGUCACGUUUAUUCGGAGAGAAGUGAAAAGCUGGAAACGAGGUGUUUUGAUAAAGGGAUCCCCGACAAAAUGUGACUGUUAACUAGGACAGAACUGAAAAGUGGAAGUAAAUCCCCCACCGGACGACUGGGAACUAAGUGAAACCUCUUCACUGGAAGCCAAGGAACCUGUUUACAGACGAUUAGAAGGGAUCAGCCCAGAAACCCGGAUCUGACCUGGCAGGAAGCUCCCAACCUUCAGCUUCUACCUGCCUGUCCAGCCCAUUUGCUGAGCAGGUCAGGAUGCAUGGAGUAUGCAGGUCCUCAUCUCUGCCUCUAGCUUCUGCAGAGAGUUACCAGGAGGCAAGGCAAGGGGCUUGCCGAGGCGAUGCUGCCGAGGUGACCCUGCCAAUCCUCCGAGCCCCUCCGGGGUCCUGGCCACAGCACACACAGCCCCUUCACUUCACGAGGGAGGAGGCCACAAUUACAGCUGCUCGGGGCUUGAGGAAGGGGGAGAACAACCUUAUCCUGACAACAUCCCCAUGUUGAGUGAGAAACUCCUGCACCUGGGAAAAGAAGUGCACAUCGUGUGAACUGCUCGGGAAAGCAAUGAAGAGGGACAGACAGUUCUUACGGCCAUGACCUGCACAUUAGUCCCCUCCAAUUUUGUCAAGGGCUCUCUCCUUCUUUGAGCUCACAGACAUUGUUUUC
Manis pentadactyla (Chinese pangolin) is the source of this 937-nucleotide long non-coding RNA. RefSeq lists it as uncharacterized. The record is from RefSeq and is a predicted model, not a curated record. Lineage: Eukaryota; Metazoa; Chordata; Mammalia; Pholidota; Manidae. The transcript is spliced from 4 exons.